UUAUGGCUCAGGACGAACGCUGGCGGCGUGCUUCAUACAUGCAAGUCGAACGAGAAGCUGACUUCGGUCAGUGGAAAGUGGCGGACGGGUGAGUAAUAUGUAGAGAAUCUGCCCUUGAGUGGGGGACAACAGAGGGAAACUUCUGCUAAUACCCCAUAUGAGCUAACUUGAAAUAGUUAUCUUGAAAACUCCGGUGCUCAAGGAUGAGUCUGCAUCUGAUUAGCUAGUUGGCGGUGUAAUGGACCACCAAGGCGACGAUCAGUAGCUGGUUUGAGAGGAUGAUCAGCCACAAUGGGACUGAGACACGGCCCAUACUCCUACGGGAGGCAGCAGUAGGGAAUUUUGCGCAAUGGGCGAAAGCCCUGACGCAGCAACGCCGCGUGAACGAUUAAGCCCUUCGGGGUGUAAAGUUCUGUCAGUAGGGACGAAUUUUGACGGUACCUACAGAGGAAGCACCGGCUAACUCCGUGCCAGCCGCUGC
RNAcentral lists this ribosomal RNA (481 nucleotides) under uncultured bacterium. Its description in RNAcentral is "bacterial SSU rRNA". It matches the Rfam family "Bacterial small subunit ribosomal RNA", at positions 17 to 518 of the family's 1533-position model. The record is from RNAcentral.